UUAGUAACGGCGAGUGAAGAGGAAAAAGCUCAAAGUUGUAACCUAUUUGGCUUAGCCAAAUCGGAUUGUAGACUGGAGAAGUGUUUUAUGGCACGCCGAGUGAAAAAGUCCCUUGGAACAGGGCAUCAUAGAGGGUGAGAAUCCCGUGAAUUCACUUGAGUAUAUGUUGUCAACUUUAAUACACUUUCAAAGAGUCAGGUUGUUUGGGAAUGCAGCCUAAAUUGGGUGGUAAAUCUCACCUAAAGCUAAAUAUUGGCGAGAGACCGAUAGCGAACAAGUACCGUGAGGGAAAGAUGAAAAGAACUUUGAAAAGAGAGUUAAACAGUACGUGAAAUUGUUAAAAGGGAACCGUUUGGAGCCAGACCGGCUUUAUCGUAAUCAAUCUAGGUUUCGACCUGGAUGCACUUGCGGUAGAUUUGCCUGCCAACGACAGUUUUUUUUGAGGGAAAAAACUAGGAGGAAUGUGGCCCUUAACUUGUUAGGGGUGUUAUAGCCUUUUAGAAAAUACCUUGAAUUGGACUGAGGAACGCAGCGAAUGCUCUUUAGGGCGAAAUAGUUGAGUGCUUUGGCUGAUAGAUGCUAGAAUUUCUGCUUCGGGUGGUGCUAGUGUUUAAAGGUUAAACUCGCUUGAUUCAUUUUUUAUUCGCUUAGGUUG
This 655-nucleotide ribosomal RNA is filed under the name Cokeromyces recurvatus. Its description in RNAcentral is "LSU rRNA". It matches the Rfam family "Eukaryotic large subunit ribosomal RNA", at positions 80 to 636 of the family's 3401-position model. Lineage: Eukaryota; Fungi; Mucoromycota; Mucoromycetes; Mucorales; Mucoraceae. The record is from RNAcentral.